AAAAAGAUAAGCUAACUAAGCUUUUAGGUUCAUACCCCAAAUAUAAAGGUAGGUACCCCUUUUCUUUUUA
Molecule: transfer RNA, 70 nt
Filed under: Deuteronectes picturatus
Lineage: Eukaryota; Metazoa; Arthropoda; Insecta; Coleoptera; Dytiscidae
Description: tRNA-Met
Source: RNAcentral